CCAGGCUGGUCUUGAACUCCUGAUCUCAAGUGAUCUGCCCACCUUGUCUUCCCAAAGUGCUGGGAUUACAGGUGUGAGCCACCGUACCCGGCCACUGGGAACUUUUGAUCUGUCUUUUCUAAACAACUUUAUGAGGUAAAAUUUAUAAACCAUACAAUUCACCUAUUGAAAGUAUAAAAAUUAGUGGUUUUUAGUAUGUUCACAGAGUUGUGCAACCUAAAUGUCUACUUUUGUGUUUAUUUAAUGCUCUUUUGUAGAGUAUUCUGUUACUAAGACUCUGAUUAACUUUCCUGUCUACAUGCCACAAUAUCUAUGCCCUCUUCCUUCCUAGAGUCCUUUUUCUUUUUUUCCUUUUCUGUCCUUUCUUUUUAGUUUCUCCAACUUAGUUAUUUUCCAUUUGUGAUUACACUUUUUUCUUUUUAUUAAUUUUAAGAAUUACCCAAAGUAAUAUAAAAAUACAUUUCCACUGUAAAAGAUUCAAAAACAAAAAUAUAUACAGAAAAAAUUUAAAGUUUCCUUUCCUGUGCCUUCCACUCCUUCUUUUCCUAAGGAAACCACUAUAAAUAGAUUGGUGUAUAUCCUUUAGGUCCCUUCCAUUUCAAGGAAUUUAUACACAAAUAUUUAUGUAUAUAUACACAUCUCUCUAUAUAUAUAUUUUUAAUGAGAUCCUACUACAUGUAUUGCUCUGCAAGUUACCUUUUUCUUUUUACACUAUGUAUUGGUCAUCUUCCCUUGUCAAUAUGUAUAGAUUUACUCCAACCUUUUGAAUUACUACCUAGUAUUAUUAAGCUACCUUUUGAUAACUGUUGAUAAUUUUUAUUGUUGUCUUGUGGUGGUGGUGGUGGUGAUGAAGAUGGUAUUUACAGAAGUGUGUGGAAGGUAAAGGAAAGGGAAAGGAGAAAUAUAAUAAUGGGACAGUCUUGCAAACUCUCUAGGACAGAGAGAACUCUGAAGGCACUAUGCUAGGCAGACAAUCUAAUGGAAUCACACAACAUAGAUGUAAAACAGCAAAGCAUGUCAAGGCAGGGUGUACAUAAGAUGUUAAAUGAAUUGUAGAGAUGCAGGGGACAGUUCUGUAGGCAGGAAAAAGGACUUAAUGAAAGGGUUGGCAUUGAGACUAGACAAGUUGUAUGAUAGUACAGUAAGUACGAAAAUCUGAAGGAGGCAGAAAACAAGAACUUCAAGUCAGGACUUUAAUAUUAGGAUAAUGAUAUUAAACUUUAUCUCAGAGAAUCCUACAAAGAUUUUGAGUAGGGGAAAAUGUGAUAAACUGGAAGUUCAGAAACAUUAAUAUGAUAGAUUUACAGGGGAACGGAGUGCAGACAGAAAGACCACUUAAAAGACGGCUAUAAUAGUCAACACUUAAAAUGAUGAAAGGCUGAACUAAGAAGUGGUAGAAAAUAGAAAGGAGAGGCCCGGCAUGGUGGCUCACGCUUGUAAUCCCAGAACUUUGGGAGGCCAAGGCGAGUGGACCAUUUGAGGUCAGGAGUUCAAGACCGGCCUGGCCAAUAUGGCGAAACCCCGUCUCUACUAAAAAUACGAAAAUUAGCUGGGCAUGGUGGUGCAUGCCUGUAAUCCCAGCUUCUUGGGAGGCUGAGGCAUGAGAAUCACUUGAACCAGGAGGUGGAGGUUGCUGUGAGCUGAGAUCGUGCCACUGCACUCCAGCCUGGGCAACAGAGCAAGACUCUGUCAAAAAAAAAAAAAAAAGAAAGAAAGAAAAAGAAAAGAAAAUAGAAAGGAGAGGGUAGACAACCAAGAUGUUAGAACUGGCCAGUAUUUAUGUACUGUAGAUUUUCCAACCAGAAUAGGCCUGAAGAUUCUGAAUAUUCAAAAUAGUGUUACCUGCCAAAUGAUUGGGUUUAGCACUGUCGUUUUGUAAAUUCAGUGGAAUAGGCCAAAAUCUUGGGUAAACCAGUAUUAAUUGCUUACUGCUCAAAAUAGCAGAAGCAGUAAAUCUACCUGCAAUAGGUAGUCCUAGCCUACCUGUAGGGAUUUACCAGGAAAACUGGUUUCAACUCUUUUUCCUUGGUAAAAGGUUUGGCUUUUGAAAUAACACACAUUUAUAGAUGAAGUUCUUAAUUAUCUUUCUGAUUGAAAGUGUCAAGCUCUUAUAGAUUAUUUUGAUUAUUUUUUACACAUUUACCAGUGUUUAUCAUGUGGCAGAUACUGUCCUAAAUGCUUUAUAAAUAUUACCUAAUUUAAUCCUUACAGCAACCUUAUGUGGCAGCACUUUUAUUAUUAUCCCCAUUUUACAGAGGAGGAACUGUAGCAGAGAAAUUAAGAGAUUUGCCCAAGAUAACGUGGUAAGUGGUGGAGCUAGGAUUCAAACCUAGACGGUAUGACUCCAGAAUUCAUGCUCUUGACUACUAUACUUCCCAUAUGGUAUUUAUUUCACUGCAUUUAUGGCAGAUAUUUUAUAUUUAUUGGUGCUAUUAAAUAUGCUGUUAAUUAAUGUUUCCCCUCGCUAAACCAUAAUCUCGCUAAGAGCAGAAAUUCUGUCUAGUUUUGUUGCCAUUGUAUUGCCAUACCUAGCACAGUGGCUCGCACUUAUUUAAUAAUCAAUAAAUAUUUGUCGAAUGAAUUGAUCAGUCUUUAUUGAUGAUUAUUACAUUUUUCAUUUGCCUGGAACUUACCACACCCUAAAGUAUUCUGGCUCUCCAUAUUUUCUGUUCAUAAGAAUAUGCAGAGCAGUUGAUUAUCUUCUGGGUCCUUUAGCCCUUUAGCUCUCCUGAGGGUAGCAGAGGACUCCCUGGUUUUCCUUUGGAUGGAAGUUUCCUGACUUUCUACUUCUGGAACCAGGGCCAGUGUCCUUGACAUGGGCUUCCUCCAGGAUGAAAUCGGACAACUGCCCAAUGACAGCAAGUAAAGAAAGUAUACUCGCCUAUAAUCCCAGCACUUUGGGAGGCCAAGGCGGGUGGAUCACGAGGUCAGCUGGAGAACAUACUGGCUAACGCAGUGGAACCCCGUCUCUACU
This 2974-nucleotide long non-coding RNA is filed under the name Homo sapiens (human). RNAcentral's name for it is "HSALNT0148489". Lineage: Eukaryota; Metazoa; Chordata; Mammalia; Primates; Hominidae. The record is from RNAcentral.